This 1559-nucleotide long non-coding RNA is filed under the name Manacus vitellinus (golden-collared manakin). RNAcentral's name for it is "lncRNA (ENSMVIG00005004586.1)". Lineage: Eukaryota; Metazoa; Chordata; Aves; Passeriformes; Pipridae. The record is from RNAcentral.
UGGUACUGGGUGGCACUGGGAUUGUUCAUGGGGCCCUUCCCAGCUCUGGGAGACACUGGUGCUUGCACUGAGAUGGUGCUGGGCUCUUCCCUGGGCUCAUCCCUUCUGAGAGAUGCUGGGAUGGCACUGGGUUCAUCCCACAUUGAAGGGACAUGCUGGUACUAGGGUGGCCCUGGGUUCUCCUGGGGCUCAUCCCAGCUGGAAGGGAGGUGCUGGAGCUGGUCCUGGGAUGGCACUGGGUUCGCUUUUCGGGAGCACUUCCCAGCUCAGGGAGACACUGGAGCUGUUCCUGGGAUGGUGCUGGGCUCUUCCCUGGGCUCAUCCCCUUUUGGGAAGGUGCUGUGCUUGCCCUGGGGGGUGCUGGGCUGUUUUUGGGGUGCCCUCCCCGGAGUGCCCAGUUUUGGGGUGUUGUCCAGGCACAGGUGUCGGCGCUGGAGCUCCGCUCUGCUCCCGCCCUGGGAUCGUCCCCGGAGCUGCAGCGGGAGCUGGAGCGGCUGCGGGUCGGGCCCAGCCUGGAGGAGCAGGUGAGGGGACACCCCCGGGGGGGACACUGUCCCCUCCUACCACCCUCCAACCUCCCCCAUUCCUGGCAGAUUGUGCUGCUGAAGGAGCAGGAGCUCCAGCGUCACCCCCCCGGGAUUUAGGGACAUCCCGGGACACCCGCAGGGACCGGCACAGCCCAUGGAGGAGGGGGAUCCAUCCCCAUCCCAAAUCCACAGCAGGGACCAGCACAGCCCAUGGAGGAGGGGGAUCCAUCCCCAUCCCAAAUCCACAGCAAGGACUGGCACAGCCCAUGGAGGAGGGGGAUCCAUCCCCACCCCAAAUCCACAGCAGGGACCAGCACAGCCCAUGGAGGAGGGGAAUCCAUCCCCAUCCCAAAUCCACAGCAGGGACUGGUACAACCCAUGGAGGAGGGGGAUCCAUCCCCAUCCCAAAUCCACAGCAGGGACUGGCACAGCUCAUUCCAUGGAUGAGGGGGAUCCAUCCCCAUCCCAAAAAACCAUGGCAGAGACCAUCACAGCUCAUUCCACGGAGGAGGGGGAUCCAUCCCCACCCCAAAUCCACAGCAGACACUGGCACAGCUCAUUCCAUGGAGGAGGGGGAUCCAUCCCCAUCCCUGCUCCGAACCCACAGCGAUUUUUGCCUCCAAAGCUGCACUUUUCCAAUGAGACGACCAAACUUGUCUAUUUUUGAUACAAUUUGGGGCCUGUUGGAUGGUUUUCCCAUUUUCCUAUUGCUUUUUUUAACAAAAAAAAGAGGGAAAUAUUCCCUGUUUUUAGUGCCAGAAGAACCAACUGGUUUAUUCCCACUCACCACAUCCUACUUUCCCCCCCUUUUCUAACACAAAACUCCCUGGAUUGGUGCUUUUAAAGGCUUUUUUUAGCAAAUAGUGGGAUUUUUUUACAUCUGUUUUUGAAACUGGGGGUUUUUACUGGUGCUACGGGGCAGCUCGAGGUUGGAAAACCCACUGGAAUCGAGGUGGUGGCUUCGAGUGCCCCCCAAUCCUCGGCAUUCCUGGCACGAAUAAAGGUGGAGAAAUCCAGACUGGGAGCUCCGAG